This is a long non-coding RNA of Siniperca chuatsi (mandarin fish), 11370 nucleotides long. RefSeq lists it as uncharacterized. The record is from RefSeq and is a predicted model, not a curated record. The transcript is spliced from 4 exons. NCBI's taxonomy places the organism in Eukaryota, Metazoa, Chordata, Actinopteri, Centrarchiformes, Sinipercidae.
AGAAGAAGAAGCAGCAGCAGCAGCAGCAGCAGAAGAAGAAGAAGAAGAAGAAGAAGAAGCAGCUUCCGGCCGCCAUCUUUGUUUGGUUUAGGAAACAGUGUUAAAUAUCUUCUUCGUUGUGCAGCAAAAACAAUAUUUUUCGUUCAAGCUUUGUAGAAGAAUAUUUUGGGAACCUGGAAAUGUCCUCAUCACAUUGCUCCUGCGGGAAUUCAUCAUCAGAGCAGCAUAUUUCAAACAGUAACCAAAAGAGAAGUGAACAGGGAACGAGAGUCUGUCUGUGAAAAGAAGUCCAUCAUCUCAAGACUCGAACUCGCUGUCGCUGCUGACGGAGAUCUCUGGAGUGGAGGCUCCUGUUCCUCUGCGCUCGGUCUCUGUGCUACAGUCGCUGGCCUCCGGGCUGCCCGGGUGGCGGGAGGCAGGCAACAAGUGGGGGUGAUGGCGGCGCUCCUGAAGCGAGCCGUCAGGUGGUGAAUCAUCCAAAGGACAUACACACACACCAGAUCUGAAGGCCAGACUGAGCCGAUGCCUUUUCCCCAAAUGAUGAAAGAGACCAAAACUACCGGUACAUUCAGGUGCUGCAAUGUCUGUUCAAUGAAAAUGUCCGGAUAUGUUGUUCUGUGGCUCAAGUUGUGACAAAGGAUGAUUGACAUUUUUAUAGACUCAAACUUAGAGUUUCAAUAUGUAAUGUUAACUAUAAAGAGUGCUGCCUGUACUAUUUAACUCGUCAGAAGGACAUUUUGUCUUCAGUAGAUAUAAAUCUGUAAUUCCAUGAUUUUUUUUUUCUGUUUGGACACUGUAUUGUGUUUUAAUCCAAGAACAGACUGAGAAUAUGCUAAACUUGUUAGCAACUACAAAUUAAUACACACACACACACACACUGCUUCAUUGGCUGGACCCAUAGAUGGUGGAACCCCACUUGGCAUAAUUAAUUAGUAGCUUAAACAGAAGCCUCCUGCUUAAAAAAUGACCUGUUGAUUUUGCCAACAGGCAAAGCGGGGGGCAUGCGUGUGUGUGUGUGUGUGUGUGUGUGUGUGUGUGUGGAAUGGGGGGUAUUACCAUGCUGUAUAAAUCCACACCAAGCACAAUUAACAAGCAAUUGGGAGGAGAAGUAAUUAGUAUUAUCUGCUUAUCACCGUCAACCCCUAUUCUAAAGAAAAUGGGUUAAAAAACACACAAUGACACAUGCACACACACUAAUUCCCUCCAGGCAAAUGUGUAAGGGCUAAUUACAAGCUCAUUUGCAACUCAACAGCAGUAUCCUCUCAGACGGGUCUAUCCCCCUGUGUCCUCCCCUCCCCUUGUCCCCAACAUACUGUGUGUUAGCUUUACCUCUUAGCCCAUGCCGGGGGCACUCACCAAACAAACGACAAAAGCUGCUUCCCCACCCGUCGCUGUUGGGUGUGAGGAGGAGAGAAAGAGAGGUAGAUCUCUUAAUUCAAUAGACACAGGUGAUAUAAAGUAAAUGUGUGGACUGCAUUUUCAGCCAACACUGAUGGGGGAUUUCAUUAAAACUUUAAAACCAAUUUGAUGGAUAUUUUAUAUAUAUAUAUAUAUAUAUAUAUAUAUAUAUAUAUAUAUAAAGCAUAAUUAUAAAUUAAGGAAAUAGACACACAUCAUACCAGUGUGGACAUCGACAAAAGCGUUAUUGGGUGUGGUAUAUUCAAAGCUUCUGCCUAAUAAACAUGUUUAGAGACUCUGUGAUCUUAUGGGAGCCCAGAUAAAGGUAAUGCAGAUCCAUGAAGGCACAGCAUCUAUAUCAUGCAAAAGCCUAGCAGCAUUUUGUAUUUACAGUUAACUUAUAUAAUUAUUAGUUUUGCCUAGCUGUGACACCCAGGGCUGCAACUGCUGAUUAUUUUCUUUAUCAAUGAAUCUAUUGAUUUUUUUUGUUUGUUUGUUUGUUUGUUUGUUUUUUUGUUGUUGUCUUGAUUAAUUGCUUGGUCUCUAAAAUGUCAUAAAAUAGUGAAAAAUUCCCAUCCAGAGCCCAAGCUGACAUAUUCAAAUUCCUUGUUUUCUCAAACCAACAGUCCAAAACACAGAUAUAGUAAAUUUACUAUCAUCGAAGACUUUAAGAAAACCAGCAAAUAUUCCCUCUGAGAAGCUGGAACGAGUGAAUUUUUGGCGUUUUGACUUUAACGAUCAAUUGAUUAUCAAAGUUAUUGCAGAUUAAUUUUCUGUCAAUCGACUAAUCCAUUAAUGUGUUAAUCGUUUUACUUCUGGUGUAUUGUCUGUAUUCAUAGUGUAUGAAGUGUAAUCAAUCUGUUUUUUAUUAUCUCUGCCCUAAUGAAGACCAUGUGAGGUCAAAGCUGGAUGGCAUUUUUAAUCACUAAAUAUACCUCUUUCUAGAGUGCUUGAAGAACAUUUUUCUUUUAUCUGUGACCAGGUUUGUGUUGUGUUAGACCCUCGUCUCACAUCAAAUUUACAGUUAAAGUAACAAAUGUAUUGUGCCUCAAUUUGUAUAUGGUACAAAUCAAAUGUUGCACUGUUUUUACAAGAGCAGGAUAUAUAUUAAAUUAAACUAGCCUAAAGAAUUGACCAAAAUAACUAAGUUAACUAACUAAACUAAAAAAUACUGACCCUUAACCAAAUUAUUGUCAAGGUGAAUUCAUCAAAUCGGCAGUUGUAGUUGUGUCAGAAAUAAGAGUGGCAUCACUUGUCUUGGGAUAUCAUAUAAUUGUUAUGGUCAAGGGAAUACAUUGUUAAUAUAUUUUUAAGUGCCUUAAAGGCCUGAAAUAAGUCAGGUCCGGUUUCUAAAAAAUGUAGAUCAUGCGAUAUUGAUGUCAUGAUUAGCAUAUUCCAGAGAUCAAUUUUCGUCUUUAAGGCUUUCAAAUAGUAUCAGAAACACAGAAGGAGACUCUUGAAAGUCACCAAACUUGUGACUUGAUUCACUUUUCAUAUGUACUGUAGUGCUGUGUCACUGUGCCCGGUUUCCUGAUAUUUCCGGGGGAAAUCCCCUCUGCCUUAAUUAAUAAGUGAGACAGAGCAACAAGCGCUUUUACACUUCAAGGUAUAAAGUGAAAAGCUGUCUGGAGAGUGUAAUGAGAUGUUCUUUCCAGGUAUUGUUAACCGGUGGAUUGGGUAGUUCCCUGCAGUAUAAUGAACCAUCCUCAGACAGUAUCAUGUACGCUGUUUGAGGGAUCAGCUUACCACAAGCUCACGGUUAGCUGGCAAACUCUAAUUUAAGCCUUUAAAAAAUAGCCCGGCAAAUCACUGCUCACAGUGGAUUAUUUGUUUUCUUGUUUGUUGAUUGUGGUCAUGGAGCUUCGAAUACUGAGAGCUGACUGUCUGGGUGACACAGAAGGUGAUAUAAAAAAUGGGACCACUUUCAGCCUCUGUGUUUAACUCCAACGAAGCCUGGAAACCCUUUGACUGUAGUUAAGAUCGUUCAAUAAUCAGAUGAAAUGUGUUGUCCCUGUUUUGUUGUGAUUUUUUUAAAAACAAUUUGGCCUAAGUGACUUUAAAUAUCCAUCUUCUUAAGUUGUGCUUUUCCUGUUUGUAAAUGUAACUUUUAAGUAAACAAAGGUGUUUGUGAAUUUUUAAGUAAUUUAAAGUCGAGCUGAGAGCCUGCUGCACAUUACACAAAACUAAUAAACUAAUAAUAAAUUCAUUUUGUGGGGUUCAGCAGCCCCCACCUCACUUACCGUGUCCAUUAUGUGUUAAAUAAAUCAAACAUUCUCUCAGUCCACUGUAGGUUAACUAAAUAAACAAAUAUUUAUUUUGAUUGAUGGCACUGCAGAUUUAAUCUUGUGUAGUCUUUGUAAAAGUAUUACUAGGAAUAAAAAAAUUAGUUUCACAAACCCUUUUUCAUAUCUGAUUUGUUACUAAUGAUCUGCCCAUUUACCAGUUUCGGCUGCUUUUAUGGGUACAUUUAAUUAUUCGCUGAUUAUUGUUCUCAUUUUUAUGUUUAGUUGCAGAAUUUAUGACAUGAACACAACCAGAGCAGCUUGUGCAUACAGAUAUCUUUGAUGAAACUAUGUACUGUAUAAGUUUGCAAUAAUAUUAUAAAACAAAACAUAGACUGUAAUAUUAAAAAACAAGUUAAAAUAGCUUACAAGGCUUUAUUUGUAAUUUCAUGUAAGACAAGUGUAUUACACAACUGUGUUUUUCGUCAACAUUGCCUGAUGUUCAUAUCAAACCCUCUGUCUUGCUUCGUCAUAAAACGCUGCUCUUCCUCUGCUUCCCUUCAUCAUCAUAUCUAACAGGUGUUACUGGAGUUGUUUAGGAACCUGAGGGAUUUAAGGUGGGACUUAUUCUUACCUAAUGCUAUAAUGCUCAUUAAUUCCUGCUUUGGUGACUUACAUCCCCCUGAUCCUCUAUGGUCCGCCCGGCCCAUCCUCGCCCUCUGUGCUGCUGACGCUGUCAGGGCCUCGACAGAAAGACCACUCAGCUGUCAGGUGGGAAGAAGCAUUAGAGGGGGAUACAUUUUCUUUUAGAGGGAAACUGUAGGGGAAGGCAGGAACAUGGGAUUGUAAGAUAGGGGUGUCUGCAUGGGCGUGAUAUGGCCAAUUUUGUCGUGACCUGCCAACCGUAGAGUGGUGUGUUGGCAGGCUGUGUUUCCCCUUGAGUAUCUUCUGUGACAAUUGUGUACUGGGAUUUGGGGCAAUCUGUGUCCAAAACUAGUUUCCGUAGUUAGGGCGGGGAAAGAAAUGAUAAAGUCCUUUUGCUUUUUGCAUGAAGUCCCUCAACUGGAAAUCCUGGGUUCAAACCUCAUGGCCACAAGUGUUUCCCUGUUGAAGUAUCACACAGUGUGUACUGGUUUUCCUGUUUGCUUUUCUGUUUCUUUCUGUAAACGGAGUCAGUAUAGUCAAUUUGGGUCAUACCCUGUGUGCUCAAUUGAAUGUAAUUACAUGUACAUUUCUACUAUUUCUACUAUAAAACAUCUCUAUAAGGAACUUAGACAAAUAUGAGAUGGUCAUCCCAAAAACGGGCAAAUAAUUGGGCUUUCCUCAAAAGAAGUGGAACGGUACACAAAAUUCAUGGUUCGAUACGCAACCGGAAACAAAACAUCAUCAUGUUGGGACACAGAUAAACACACAGAUAAAAAAAAUUGCCCGUUGGUGAUCUUUCUCUUAUGAGGGGGUGGGCAAAGGGAGAGACACAAACCCCUAUGUUACUUUGUAUGUUUUCAUGUUUGUAAAUACUUAAUUUUGGGGGGGUAUUAUCUCAAACUAAUUAAAGUUCAGUUAUGCAAAGCAUUUAACACAACCUUAAUUUAACUUUUGUCAAACUUCUUCAGCCCAUCCUCACACUAAUAAUUUGACAUAAUAUAAUAAUUUAUAUUAAUAAUAAUAAUUUGAUGUGCUGAAUUCAGUGCUGAUGCUCUGACACUGAAAUUAUGCAUUUAAUGAGUUAUAAUUUGCACUCUGUCUCUUCAUAGUGUCUUGCUUAACAUUGUUCUCUGUCACAUCUCACAUUUUGACUGAUUCUUGUCCAUUUAAUAAGUUUUGCACGUAUGUGUAAGCUUUCCAACCCCAAUGGCCCAAGUUUGCUGGUAAAUAUUUAUUUAUUUAUACGUAAGAUUGAUAGCACCAAAUUUGGUUCAACAGGAGUUUUAGAUGUUAUACAAACUCUGACUUCAUGACAGCAAGAACAUUUACAAAAAAGUAGUGAAAACCAAUACUGUCACCCUCACUACUAGCUUAUAUUGAUUUCCCCUCCCCCCCAUGUUGUGUGACUCUUUGAUACAAGGGCUGACAGCUCAACUAAAAAUUAAAUCAUCAUUAAGUAUAUUACUUAGAGUAAGUGGUCAGCCAGGUUUGUUUAUCAAAACAGUUGCAUCUUCAUAGUAAAAUCAGUUAACAUGAAUCUUUAAAGCUGCUUUUGAUAGAUUUUAUAUCAGUAUAAGGAGUAAGGAAAAUCAACAUUUGAUUUGUUCUCUAUCGCAGCAGUAGCAAGGCAUGAUGAUAUCACUGAAAUCCUUCUGGUUAUCUUUGAGACAUUGUUGGCAUACACCCAAUUUGUGUUGUGCAAACACAAAGGUAAUCGUAUCAUAGCUUCUGUCAUCUGUUACUGAAUGACCGAGGUAAAUGAGCCUCGUCUUAGUGCAUCGAUCGAAGCAGAAUUAACUCACUGUGGCCGCGGCAGCCACUGUAAAUGUGAGUGGUCGAGCACAUGUGUUUCAGUGUUCUUGAAUUUCCUGCAGCACAGCAUGACAUAUCAUAUAUGUAAGCAUGAUGAUUUUUAAUGAUUACUCACCUAUGUGUGUAUAUUUAUGUCUAUAUGUCUAAUGCGUCUUUUCCCGCUGGGUUCAUGUGACAGCAUGGGUGGGAGGCUAAGAGUGUUAGCUUGGUGAGAGGGAUUACCUAUAUCUGUUAGGCCUCCUUUUCUUUCCCCUGGGCAGUGUCACGUCUCAUUACUUCUGUCCUCCAGCCCGAAUAGUCUGGCUUUAGCGGGAUACAUUUAAAAUGCGGGCAGCCUGGACGUCCAAGAACACCAGGUUUAGAGGCAGACUGAUAUGCGUGUCCUUUGCUUGAGAGGCUUUUUUUCAGUGAGCAGACAGGUAAACUUCUCCCAAAGCUGGCAUUGAUGGCAGUUAAGCCUUCACUUGUUUAAGUGAAACGGAUGGCUGCAUCUCAGAGAGAGACGUGCUCGGCGUGUGGUUAUAAUCUGUUGUUGUGAUUGUCUCAUCAAGAAAGACUGUGUCCGUGUUCCCAGCUGACAGACCUGCAUGUAAUUAACAUGUAUGAGGAAGAGAAGGGGGGAGGUUGUAAAGGAAGAAAGCAAGGUAGAGUGUGCUACUAGAUGAGGGCAUUGUAGAGUAGUGAGGGUGAGCUGUUUUAUAGGCAGUAACAUAAUAUUAGAACUGAAACAAUUUUGAUAAUCAAUUAGUCAUUUAAGUCAUUUUUCAAGUAAAAAUGCCAAACUUUCUGUGGUUCCAGCUUCUCAAAAUAUGAGCCUUUGCUGCUUCUCUCUGUUUUAUAUCAUUUUAAAUUCAACAUCUUUGGGUUUUUUCACUAUUGGUUGGACAAAGCAAGACAUUUGAGGAUGUCAAACCAGGCUCUGGGCUUUUUUUUCACUAUUUUGUGACAUUUUUAGAGCAAAAAUUAAUCGAUCAAUCUAGAAAAUAAUCUGCAGAUUAAUCGAUAAUGAAAAUAAAUAAAUAAAAAAAUGACAGGCAUUUGUUACAGAACUGCUGAAACUCUGACAUACAGCUAGUGUGGCAAAUACACAUUUAUGUAAUUGUAGUCUUUUUCUAAGUCAGUAUUCUGAUAUAUUCUAAACCCCCUUUGAGACUCUUCAGUUAACAAAUCAUUUAUAAAAUAAAUAUAAAGAUCUCUUCAACCAUUUCUCUAAAGCAUUCGGCCUAAUCACUUGCAAAUCCUUCCAGUCAAGUGGCUCAUUAGAAGAAAUUACUGAUGGUAAGCUGAGUGGCAUAAACAUCCUCUAUAGUUCUUUUCUCUUCAAACUGCUGUUAAACAUGCCACAGUGGACAAACAACCAAUUCAUUCGCAGCCACAUUUCAUUUGCGAAUUCCUUUUAAUCAUUAUGGGUCAUUGACUCCUUCAUUUCUCACCUAUUCAGUGACUCAGAAUGGCCUGUAUAUCUACAACGGCUGUAUUUUGACCCCUUGCUCUCGUUGCCCCCCCCCGACCUCCAGCUGGUUCCCUCCACCGUCCAGAAGCUAUGGAGCUCUCCUGGCCUUAGCAGGGCGGCUAAUCUAGAUGGCGGGAGGCCUCCCUCCUGCUAGCGUACACAAGAAAGGGCAGCCCUAAUUGCUUAUGUCGUAAAGCUCUCUGACCUAGAUAAGCCUCCACUCCCCAAAGCUGUCAAUAUAAACCCCACUUUACCUCACCAAACCAGUCUCUCCUGAUCCACACAAGCCACCCCCCUCCUAACAUUUCUGCACCUUCUGCCACAUUAUGAACACCCUGGACGGGGGGAGAAGGGGAGAAGAAAACGAACACCAUGGGUGGACGAAACAUGACCUCUUUGUAAAAUAGUAAUUUACCAACAGCUUAUUUAAGGACUUGUAUGUUGCAGGAAAAUAACCACUUUGAGUGGUAUUUCUAAUUUAUGUAUUUUUACAUAAACCUUUUAGAAAAAGUCUUCAUGUAGCUCGAAGCAGAGUGGGGGGAAAAAACUUGGACAACAGUACUAAGCUUUUUUAGAUGCAUGAAUAACCUUCCUCAAAAAUAUAUAAAAUAUUGUUCAGGACUGCUUAUAAGUCAGAGUAAGAGCACAUCUUUGAAGAGGAAGGCGUGAUAAAUUGACCAGAAAGCCAAAGUGCCAGAUAUUUGAUUAGGUGUGCCCAAUGAAAGCAGAUCUCAAAGCAUGGCGUUGCGUGCUACUAGCUCUCGCGUGCCUGGUUCAUUAUUGAACCCGGUAAUUCAGGCUUAGCCACAAAAUGCCACAGUGUUUCGGACAGUUGUCAAGUGCCGAAUGUCACACAUGCUUUACUUUGCUAACAGAUGACCAGCUCACCAAUCAACACUUUACAGCUAUGCAAACAGAUAGUUUUUACUAUUGCUAAUUAGUUUUAACGUCAACUUUCUAAAACUGGCUUUUGUCAUAUUAAGACAUUUAAUAGGAUAUAAUGUAAAACAUUGUUUUUCAGAAAUAUUAGCUGGUAACUCAGGUGGUGUAGCUGUUUGCUUGUUGUUACAGAAGUAAUUCAGUCCAUAUCAAACUGGAGCCUUACUGAGAACUCCUUCAAGUCCACUUUAAUACAGAUCUUAAUUACUAAAUUGGAGCUUUUAAUUGGAUGCUAGCCUGACUGGCGCGGUAAUCACCCAUCACAUGCUAUUGGUGCAGGGAUGCCUUUAAACCCCCAUCUUAAGCCAUGUUACACCACAGGUUAAUGUCAACUGUGUCAAGUGCUUGGUGAACGAUACUCCUACUGAUAUCUUGUCGUUUUUCUCACUGUGAAUGACCCAACACAAAAAAUCUAAUUCGUACAUAACUUGACUGACACAAUUUAAACUCAAAUGAUUGAAAUCUGCUGUAUUAUGUAUGUUAGGAACAUGUUUCUUAGACAUUAAGCGCUGUAGUUCUUGGCUUGUCCUGCCCUCGGCUUCUUCACCUCCUAUUUAAGUGAUACUUGGAGAAAGACUGUUGACAUUACUUGUCAUUACAAAUCCCUCUGGUGAAGUUAAGUGAUUGGAUUUGUGCAUUUCCAAGUGCUCCAAAGAGCUUUCUGAUGACUGAGGAUGUUCAGUAGUUGUACCAACUGAGUGUAUCUUUUAUAAGUACAAUGAGUGACAGUUAUUGGUCAAAUAAAAGUCACCCAGUUGGUUUAAUAGAAAUUCCAACAAUACAAAUCAGGCAUUAUAUUUUGCGAACACAAAAACAAAAAACAAAAACAAAAAAAAACAUUUUCAAGUAAGGAAGAGACACAGGAGAAAUAAAGCACCACACCACAUCACCACACAAGGUCAUUUGUUGAAACUGAUUUCACUCCAAAAAUACAGAAUAAAAGUGAUCUUUAUAGUGGUUCUAAAACAAAAAUGUUCCAUACCAAACAUUUCACAAUUUCGUGCUACAGUUUUCCUGCUUGGGGUCGUCAAAAAAAAAAAAGAAAAAAAUUUCCAGUUAAAGGAAAACAUUUUCACAAUAAAUAUAUCAUUAACACUAAAAGUGAAGAAGGAAAAAAUAUUUAAAUUGCUCUGAAAUCAACAAUUACAUAACAACGUAACACAAUAUAUGCAUACUUUGCAGCACAUAUGCUGUUUAUAUGCAUUUAUACUAAACAGACAUGAGAAGAGUGGUAGUCAAGGUUUAAUACUGUCUGUACCAGUAGGUUACAGAAUAUGUGUAAGAUCAAUAAUUUUCUAGUGGUGUUGAGAAACAUUUCCACAGUAGUAUUUUUGACAACACAGGCUGCUUUUGUUUGUGGUUUACAUUUUGAUUAUUUUUCUCUCUCUACCCACUAACGAUGCUACAUUUCUACCUGUAGCCCACUGACCCCAUCAUAUACUCUACUUCCCCAACUCCAGAUAAUCUAACGAUUACCAGUGUUCCUGGUAAUCCUCAGUGUUAUAAUACAGCAGUUUUCCACAGUCUUGGUGAACUUAUAGUGUCAUACAAUGUUCUAUGUAAAGUUUCCAAGUGCGUUGUUAUCCUAUGACUUGUGAGUAAUCUCUUCAGACAGUUUGUGGCAAGAACGAGCACUCGCAGGGUACUAGAAAUUUCUGACGUGCUGUGCGCAGACAUCCCCCUGAGCACCAAACAACACUGGUGUUGUGUAAUCCCUGUGUUCUGCUGUAGUGUUUCUAACACUCACUUCAGGCUAAAAUAUAUACUGCAACACUGCACUUCACACUAAGUGCCUGCUGCCAUCUGGUGGUCGGAUCAUUGAUUGGCACAACAUUCAAAAGAACUGAAAAGUUACACAUUUGUGAAAAACUGGGUUUUCAGUUAACCUGAUAAUCAGACUGAAUUGCCGUUUUGUUUCACUUCAUUAUUGUUAUUGAAUAGCUGAAAAUAUCUGACAAAAAUGUCUGGAACCAGGCUGGACUUUUGUGGACCCCCUGCCAGAAUUUAAGUGAGCAACUGAAACUAAAUCGCAUGUUCUUUCUGCUACAGCAAACAUGUCUACCCUGUAAAUCAUGUGUCCUGUGUUCUCCUUUGAGAAAAAAAAUUAACGUUUUUUCAUAUUUUUUGGUUUCAUGAUUUUGUCCCGUAUCUUUCCAGUAGCCAGUCAGAAGGCUGUUAGUUCUCGAUCUACAUAGACGGACAACUUGUUUUCAUACAGCCAAAUCAUAUUGUUUCAUUUUAAACUGUAUUUGCAUAAAGCCGUAACGUCACAGUUUUUACUUUGUGAUAGAAAGACCCUUUUUUCUUCCUUUUGAUAAUAAAAAAAACUAUCAACUAUAAAUUUGGCAUUACUUUCUACUUCUAAAAGGGAUGACUAAAUGUGAUUUCAGUUGGACUUUGAGGGACACGGCAAUCUUUGAUCUGCUGUCAUGAAAUGUAGAGCCUUAAACUUCAUGUUACAUACAGUGAGAUUAGGACUCUUGUUUCUUAGGAUAUCUCUCUGAGACGCUCUCUUGUAGUCACAUUCUAUUUUUGUAUCUGGACAAGCUCAGAAAUGUUUUAAAAAUAGAAAAUGUACUUCAUAUGCUUUAACAUUAACGUCGCUCAAAUGCCAUCUAGAUUUUAGAUUUGCAUUUGAUUAAAAAAACAAAACAACAGUAAUCUCAUGAGCCGCUAGCCAGCUUUCCGGUCUUGAAUGAUCAUUUCUUCCUUUCAGUCCCAACUAGCAAGACGCUCUCAGAAAUCCCCAGAGAACAUUUCCCUGCUGCUCAUUUUCAGAGGGUCUUGAAAUAAACCCAAGAGGAAGUUGGAUUAGAUUAAACUCCUACUGUGCCAUCAUCACAAGAAAACUAGGACGAUUUGGGCAGGGAGAGCCUGACUGGAAGCUAAAUCUGGUUAAAA